GUUUUUAAGUGACGGCUAGCUCAGCCUCCUCUCGGGUUCAACAGCGCCGCACUUCCUCCUCCUCCCCCCUCUGUCCUCUGCAGUCUCUCUAAACAGGUUCAGCUGAUUCCCGUGUUGGCGUCAAAGCAGCAGGAGCUACCUAGAAUCGUGGCAUCGGCACCGAGCUGUGGCACCCCCCAAAUGCUGCAGCAUUACCCACAAAUGCUUCGGCGUAACCUCCAAAGUAAGGAAAGGAUGUAGUGCAGAAUUUUACCUGA
Molecule: long non-coding RNA, 257 nt
Organism: Archocentrus centrarchus (flier cichlid)
Lineage: Eukaryota; Metazoa; Chordata; Actinopteri; Cichliformes; Cichlidae
Exons: 3
Source: RefSeq, a predicted model, not a curated record